GAACUUUCCUUGUCCUCAAGCAAAACAAAACAAAACACACAAAACAUAACUUGGCUUUAUACUUUUUCAUCCAAUGCCUCAACAAUCCCAAGGUACAUGACAAAACUACUCAAUUCAAAUCUUCAGUAAAAUCAAACUAAAGUGUAUGCAUGUUUUCAAUCUAGAGAUUGCACUACAGAUGUUAUAUAUUAUGAAUGAUCAAUCCACUAAGCAAAAAGGCACUCAUGAAAAUUAACAGUUCAUACCAAGCAAGUGUUUCACUCAAUCACUCAAGUGUUUAAGGUGACACUCCAACUCUCUAUUGUUCACAAGUCACAUGAAACAAAAUUGCCAUUCAUCUCAAACAAUCAACAUCUUUACAUGCAAAUGCCAUCAAAAGGACUUUUUCAAGGCUUGUAAUGAGGUUGGGUCAACAAGAAAAAUUUGUUUUUCUAGAAUGCAAAAUCCUUGAGUCAAGAGAGCUAACAAAAUAUUCAACAUUUAAGCACAACUCUUUCACCAAUGACUCUCAUUCCCCACUUCUUCCCUUUUCUUUUCUUUUUCAUUGAGCUCAUCUUCAUGUUUUUCUUCUUUUCUUUUCUUUUUCUCAUGAAUUUUUCUCUUUUCACAACAAUUGAGCUCAAUGCCUUUCACUUGCUUUUUUCCAAUUUUCCCCCGUACAACCCCAAAUUUGAACCUUUUCAACACAUACAAUUAAGCUCAUCCCAACUCAAGGUAAAGAUUUACAAGACAAGGGUUCACAUACUGUUUAAGGCUAAGGUUCAAAAAAGGUAAAAUAUUUUCAAGAACUUUGGGUGAAAAUUUGGCU
This 808-nucleotide long non-coding RNA is filed under the name Vigna radiata. RNAcentral describes it as "long non-coding RNA (VRAD_LNC012868)". The record is from RNAcentral. Lineage: Eukaryota; Viridiplantae; Streptophyta; Magnoliopsida; Fabales; Fabaceae.